RNAcentral lists this ribosomal RNA (1245 nucleotides) under metagenome. RNAcentral's name for it is "bacterial LSU rRNA". It matches the Rfam family "Bacterial large subunit ribosomal RNA", at positions 1564 to 2818 of the family's 2925-position model. The record is from RNAcentral.
UGAAUACGAGACGCUACGGCGUCGAAGCAGUCUAUGUCAUACUUCCAAGAAAAGCUUGCACUGUCAUAAACAAAUAAUGCCUGUACCAUAACCGACACAGGUGGGUAGGUAGAGUAUACUAAGGGGCGCGAGAUAACUCUCUCUAAGGAACUCGGCAAAAUGACUCCGUAACUUCGGGAGAAGGAGUGCCUUAUUUAUAAGGUUGCAAUAACAAGAUCCAAGCAACUGUUUAUCAAAAACACAGGUCUCCGCUAAGUCGUAAGACGAUGUAUGGGGGCUGACGCCUGCCCAGUGCCAGAAGGUUAAAGAUGUUGGUUAGCAUUAGCGAAGCUGAUAACUGAAGCCCUGGUGAACGGCGGCCGUAACUAUAACGGUCCUAAGGUAGCGAAAUUCCUUGUCGGGUAAGUUCCGACCCGCACGAAAGGCGUAAUGAUUUGGAUACUGUCUCAGAGAGGGGCUCGGUGAAAUAGACUUGUCUGUGAAGAUGCGGACUACCUGCACCAGGACAGAAAGACCCUAUGAAGCUUUACUGUAACUUGAAAUUGAAAUUGGACUUUAUUUGCGCAGUAUAGGUGGGAGGCAUUGAUAAUAUUCUUGCGGGAAUGUUGGAGCCAUCAGUGAGAUACCACUCUUGUAAUGUUAGAUUUCUAACUUUGGAUCAUUAUCUGGUCAAAGGACAGUUUCAGGCGGGCAGUUUGACUGGGGCGGUCGCCUCCUAAAUGGUAACGGAGGCGCACAAAGGUUUCCUCUGAACGGGUAGAAAUCGUAUCUAGAGUGUAAAGGCAUAAGGAAGCUUGACUGUGAGACCUACAAGUCGAGCAGGGACGAAAGUCGGUCUUAGUGAUCUGACGGUGCUGAGUGGAAAGGCCGUCACUCAACGGAUAAAAGUUACUCUAGGAUAACAGGCUGAUCUCCCCCAAGAGUUCACAUCGACGGGGAGGUUUUGGCACCUCGAUGUCGGCUCAUCGCAUCCUGGGGCGGUAGUACGUCCCAAGGGUUGGGCUGUUCGCCCAUGAAAGCGGUACGCGAGCUGGGUUCAGAACGUCGUGAGACAGUUCGGUCCAUAUCCGGUGUAGGCGUUAGAAUAUUGAGAGGAGCCUUCUUUAGUACGAGAGGACCGAGAAGGACAUACCUCUGGUGUACCAGUUAUCGUGCCAACGGUAAACGCUGGGUAGCUAUGUAUGGAGAGGAUAACCGCUGAAAGCAUCUAAGUGGGAAGCCCACCUCAAGAUUAGUAUUCUCAUG